This 334-nucleotide unclassified non-coding RNA is filed under the name soil metagenome. RNAcentral describes it as "partial contains 5.8S ribosomal RNA, internal transcribed spacer 2, and large subunit ribosomal RNA". The stretch from base 1 to 120 matches the Rfam family "5.8S ribosomal RNA", at positions 35 to 154 of the family's 154-position model. The record is from RNAcentral.
GAUGAAGAACGUAGCGAAAUGCGAUAAGUAAUGUGAAUUGCAGAAUUCAGUGAAUCAUCGAAUCUUUGAACGCACAUUGCGCCCGCCAGUAUUCUGGCGGGCAUGCCUGUUCGAGCGUCAUUUCAACCAUCAAGCCCUGCUUGCGUUGGGGUCCUGCGGCUGCCCGCAGGCCCUGAAAACCAGUGGCGGGCUCGCUAGUCACACCGAGCGCAGUAAUACAUCUCGCUUUGGGCGUGCGGCGGGUUCUUGCCGUUAAACACCCCCUUUUUACCAAGGUUGACCUCGGAUCAGGUAGGAAUACCCGCUGAACUUAAGCAUAUCAAUAAGCGGAGUA